RNAcentral lists this ribosomal RNA (351 nucleotides) under uncultured eukaryote. RNAcentral describes it as "SSU rRNA". It matches the Rfam family "Eukaryotic small subunit ribosomal RNA", at positions 1326 to 1698 of the family's 1831-position model. The record is from RNAcentral.
CGAUAACGAACGAGACCUUAACCUACUAAAUAGUGCGAUUAGCUUUUGCUGAUUUUGACACUUCUUAGAGGGACUAUCGAUUUCAAGUCGAUGGAAGUUUGAGGCAAUAACAGGUCUGUGAUGCCCUUAGACGUUCUGGGCCGCACGCGCGCUACACUGACGGAGCCAGCGAGUAAUAACCUUGGCCGAGAGGUCUGGGUAAUCUUGUGAAACUCCGUCGUGCUGGGGAUAGAGCAUUGCAAUUAUUGCUCUUCAACGAGGAAUUCCUAGUAAGCGCAAGUCAUCAGCUUGCGUUGAUUACGUCCCUGCCCUUUGUACACACCGCCCGUCGCUACUACCGAUUGAAUGGCU